Acomys russatus (golden spiny mouse) is the source of this 104-nucleotide small nuclear RNA. NCBI's taxonomy places the organism in Eukaryota, Metazoa, Chordata, Mammalia, Rodentia, Muridae. The record is from RefSeq and is a predicted model, not a curated record.
GAGUGCUUGGCCACACGUACACUAAAAUUGGAAUGAUCCCGAGAAGGUUAGCAUGGCCGCUGCGCAAGAAUGACACGCCAAUUCAUGAAGCAUCCCAUACUUUU